RNAcentral lists this ribosomal RNA (694 nucleotides) under Streptomyces sp. 562(2010). RNAcentral's name for it is "bacterial SSU rRNA". It matches the Rfam family "Bacterial small subunit ribosomal RNA", at positions 87 to 797 of the family's 1533-position model. Lineage: Bacteria; Bacillati; Actinomycetota; Actinomycetes; Kitasatosporales; Streptomycetaceae. The record is from RNAcentral.
GUGGAUUAGUGGCGAACGGGUGAGUAACACGUGGGCAAUCUGCCCUGCACUCUGGGACAAGCCCUGGAAACGGGGUCUAAUACCGGAUAAUACUUUCCUCUGCAUGGGGGAGGGUUAAAAGCUCCGGCGGUGCAGGAUGAGCCCGCGGCCUAUCAGCUUGUUGGUGGGGUGAUGGCCUACCAAGGCGACGACGGGUAGCCGGCCUGAGAGGGCGACCGGCCACACUGGGACUGAGACACGGCCCAGACUCCUACGGGAGGCAGCAGUGGGGAAUAUUGCACAAUGGGCGAAAGCCUGAUGCAGCGACGCCGCGUGAGGGAUGACGGCCUUCGGGUUGUAAACCUCUUUCAGCAGGGAAGAAGCGAAAGUGACGGUACCUGCAGAAGAAGCGCCGGCUAACUACGUGCCAGCAGCCGCGGUAAUACGUAGGGCGCAAGCGUUGUCCGGAAUUAUUGGGCGUAAAGAGCUCGUAGGCGGUUUGUCACGUCGGAUGUGAAAGCCCGGGGCUUAACCCCGGGUCUGCAUUCGAUACGGGCAGACUAGAGUGUGGUAGGGGAGAUCGGAAUUCCUGGUGUAGCGGUGAAAUGCGCAGAUAUCAGAGGAACACCGGUGGCGAAGGCGGAUCUCUGGGCCAUUACUGACGCUGAGGAGCGAAAGCGUGGGGAGCGAACAGAUUAGAUACCCUGGUAGUCCA